RNAcentral lists this ribosomal RNA (207 nucleotides) under uncultured bacterium. RNAcentral describes it as "partial 16S ribosomal RNA". It matches the Rfam family "Bacterial small subunit ribosomal RNA", at positions 524 to 730 of the family's 1533-position model. The record is from RNAcentral.
UACGUAGGAUGCAAGCGUUAAUCGGAAUUACUGGGCGUAAAGCGUGCGCAGGCGGUUUUGUAAGUCUGUCGUGAAAGCCCCGGGCUCAACCUGGGAAUUGCGAUGGAGACUGCAAGGCUUGAAUCUGGCAGAGGGGGGUAGAAUUCCACGUGUAGCAGUGAAAUGCGUAGAGAUGUGGAGGAACACCGAUGGCGAAGGCAGCCCCCU